RNAcentral lists this ribosomal RNA (1491 nucleotides) under Triticum aestivum (bread wheat). Its description in RNAcentral is "partial small subunit ribosomal RNA". Lineage: Eukaryota; Viridiplantae; Streptophyta; Magnoliopsida; Poales; Poaceae. The record is from RNAcentral.
AUGGCGACGAGGGUGUCGUCGAUGUAUGACAUGGUGGAGCGGAUGCAGUACCUGUACGUGAGCGUGGUGAAGGCGUGCGACCUGGACAUCACCGGCGCGAUGGACGCGUACGUGGAGGUGAAGGCCAAGGCCAAGGCCGCGCUCCGCGACGAAAUAGUCGGCCGCGUCGUCUUCGACAGCAAGAUACACGCCAAGGACAACGGCGACCUGCAGCCGGCGGCGGAGAAGUUCCGAAAGAGCGCCAUCGGCGUGCUGGAGGUGGGCAUCCUUGGCGCACGUGACCUGGGCGACAACAAGUACCCCUACUGCGUGGCCAAGUACGGCGUCAAGUGGGUGCGCACGCGCACGUUGCUCCUCCGCACGGUGGGGCCAAUGUGGAACGAGCCGUACACCUGGGAGGUGUUCGACCUCAACACCAUCAUCACCGUCGUCGUCUUCAACAACAACCACCUCUCCGGCCGUGGCAACGGAUCAACCAGCAAGGACCAGCCGAUCGGCAAGGUGCGCAUCCGGCUCGCGACACUAGAAAGCCACCGCGUGUACACGCAUUACUACCCGCUCAUGGCGCUGAGCCCGAGCGGACUGAAGAAAACCGGGGAGCUCCACCUCGCCGUCCGGUUCACCUGCACGGCGUGGGCAAACAUGCUGGCGCAGUACGGGUGGCCAUUGCUGCCCGAGAUGCACUACACGAGCCCUAUCUCCGUGCUGAAGCUGGACUACCUCCGGUUGCAGGCGGUGCAAGUGGUGGCAAAAAGGCUCGGCAGGGCGGAUCCGCCGCUGCCUAGAGAGGUGGUGGAGUACAUGCUCGACGUCGGCUCACACAUGUUCAGCCUGCGCCGGACCAAGGUCAACUUCAACCGGAUCUCCUCGCUUUUAUCCGUCGCCAAGGGCAUCUGCAAGUGGAAGAACCCAUUGACGACGAUUUUGGUGCACGUGGUGUUCCUCAAGCUGGUGUGCAACCCGGAGCUGAUCCUGCCCGCCAUCUUCGUGUGCUUCAUCAUGGUCAUGGCGUGGAACUACUUCCGGCGGCCACGGGAGCCGUCGCACAUAGACACGGUGCUGUCACGCGUGGAGCUCGCGCAGCCCAACGAGCACAUAGACCCGGUUAUGUGGUGGUACACCGAUGUGGCCUACCCCGACGAGCUGGACGAAGAGUUUGACACGUUCCCGACAUCCAAGCCGGAUGACAUCGUGAGGCUGAGAUACGAGCGGCUGCGGAGCCUGGCCGGGAUGGUGCAGACGGCGGCCGGCGACGUUGCUGCGCAGGGGGAGCGCGUACAGUCGCUGCUCCGCUGGCACGACCCGAGGUUGACGCCCGUCUUCAUGGCCCUCUCGCUGGUGAUGGCCGUCGUAUUGUACCUGACUCCGGUACGGAUGUUGACCAUGGGGAUGGGGCUCUACUUCCUCCGGCCGCCGUGGUUCCGAGGCAGGACCAACCUGCUCUUCAACUUGUUCAGUCGUCUGCCCUCCAUGGAAGACGAGAUGCUAUAA